RNAcentral lists this long non-coding RNA (1679 nucleotides) under Solanum lycopersicum (tomato). RNAcentral's name for it is "long non-coding RNA (SLYC_LNC000713)". The record is from RNAcentral. Lineage: Eukaryota; Viridiplantae; Streptophyta; Magnoliopsida; Solanales; Solanaceae.
AGAAGAUGGAAAGCCCUAGAGUUGAGGAGAGUUAUGACAAAAUGAGUGAAUUAAAAGCGUUUGAUGAUACUAAGGCCGGUGUUAAAGGACUUGUUGAUUCUGGAAUUACUAAAGUACCUCAAAUAUUCGUUCUACCGCCAAAAGACAGGGCUAAAAAAUGUGAAACACAUUUCGUUUUUCCAGUGAUAGACCUUCAAGGUAUCGAUGAGGAUCCGAUUAAGCAUAAGGAGAUAGUGGACAAAGUUCGAGAUGCAUCGGAGAAAUGGGGUUUUUUCCAAGUGGUUAAUCAUGGGAUUCCAACAUCCGUCUUGGACAGAACGUUGCAAGGAACACGACAGUUCUUUGAGCAAGAUAACGAGGUUAAGAAACAGUAUUACACUCGAGAUACUGCGAAAAAAGUGGUUUAUACUAGCAAUCUUGAUUUGUAUAAAUCUUCUGUUCCAGCUGCAAGUUGGAGAGACACGAUUUUCUGUUACAUGGCUCCGAAUCCUCCCAGUCUACAAGAAUUUCCAACUCCAUGCGGGUAAGUAUUUUCAUUUCUUAGUCUGGAGAUUCUUUAGUAGCUCAGUGGCAGAGGCGGACCCUCCGCCGGGUGCUCGAGCACCCAUUAAUUUCGUUACGGAAUAUAUAUAUAUCUACGUAGAAAUUAAUAUGUAUUUGUAUAAAAUUAACAUAGAGCACCCAAUGAAUAAACGAUUUAGUUGGCCCAAUGGCUCCUGGAUGAAUACUCUGUUAACACAUAUUUUUUAUAUUUUCAGUUUAAAUUUCUAGAUCCGCCACUGCUCAGUUGAUUGACUAUCUAAAGACAGCAAAAAUUCCUAGAUCUGUCGCUGCUCAGUUGAUUGAGUAUCUAAAUACAGCAAAUUCUUAGAUCCGCCAUUGCUUAGUUGAUUGACUAUCUAAAGACGUCUGAUUUUAUAUAAAAAUAUGUCAUGUUUCAAUGCAGGGAGUCAUUAAUAGACUUCUCCAAGGAUGUGAAGAAACUGGGAUUCACUUUACUUGAAUUAUUGUCUGAAGGUCUCGGUCUCGAUCGUAGUUAUCUCAAAGAUUAUAUGGAUUGUUUUCAUCUUUUCUGUUCUUGCAACUACUACCCACCAUGUCCUCAGCCAGAACUCACCAUGGGCACCAUUCAACAUACCGAUAUUGGUUUUGUAACGAUCCUUCUACAAGAUGAUAUGGGAGGGCUCCAAGUUCUUCACCAGAAUCAUUGGGUUGAUGUUCCUCCUACACCCGGUUCUCUAGUGGUGAAUAUUGGAGAUUUUCUGCAGGUUAGUAGUCGAUAUUAUAUACAAAGUUUAUCGCGCAACACAUUUAGAAAAUCUUUUUUUUAAUUAUUUUUUGCAGCUCUUGUCAAAUGACAAGUACUUAAGUGUCGAGCACAGAGCAAUCUCAAACAAUGUUGGAUCAAGAAUGUCAAUCACGUGCUUCUUCGGUGAAAGUCCAUAUCAAUCUUCCAAGCUUUAUGGACCGAUAACUGAAUUGUUAUCAGAAGAUAAUCCUCCAAAAUAUCGCGCAACCACAGUGAAAGACCACACUAGUUACCUCCAUAACAGAGGCCUAGAUGGAACUUCUGCAUUGUCCCGUUACAAGAUCUAAGAAUAAGAAUAAUAAUGUUAUCUAUUAUUACUAUUUAUACUUCUGCAGAUUGUACCUUUGAAUUUGAAGCAAAUGUUUGAGUU